ACCUGUAAAAUCUACAUUUUUUUUUUUUAUCUUAAACUGAAAUCAGGAGUUUACCACUAAAUAAAAGCACAACUAAUCUUAAGUCUGCAUAACAAAAACUGUACAUACUGCUUUGCUUAAAUUAUGCGUAGCUUUGUAGACUGUAUUCAUUUUUGUUGUUUUUGUUUAAGAUGACAUCUACUAACAAAAACAUAUUAACUUCUGGAACAGGAGAGAACAGAUGUGGAGCAAAACACGAGCAACCAUGAUCCAAACGAAGGGACAGAAGCUCACCUAGAUCUAGAGGAGGUGAGCGGCCAAUCUAAUUCUGGCAAACAGGAAGCAGAACAAACCGAACAACUCCAACAAACUCCAGGCCAAGGUGGCACUGAUAUGACAUCUGACAAUACAGAGAAUCUGCGCAACACAUCCAGCCCUGACUCCCAGAAUGCAGAGCAGGUUGAUGGAGAAGAGAUGGAUAAACCUGAAAACUCUGUCCAAGAGGAGGCCUCCUCCACUGUGCAGAGCAUGGAGAUUCCAACAGAGAAGACAUUUCCAACUGAAGAACAAGAAGAAACCAUGACAGCUGAUGAACAGGAG
This is a long non-coding RNA of Cyprinodon variegatus (sheepshead minnow), 579 nucleotides long. RefSeq lists it as uncharacterized. Lineage: Eukaryota; Metazoa; Chordata; Actinopteri; Cyprinodontiformes; Cyprinodontidae. The transcript is spliced from 3 exons. The record is from RefSeq and is a predicted model, not a curated record.